UUCAGGAGCAAACAGAGAGAAAAUCGUUCCUAUGUUCUCUUCUCUUUUUUUUUCUUCCGUUAGCAAGCUGGAGUAGAAAGCAAGUAUUUUCUGCUUCUGUUUGCUCCGGAGCAACUUCUGUGUACUAUAGAACAAACUUAUUAUACAAAACCAUCUGACAACGCUGCUCUAAAGUGAAAAGUGCUCUUCAAACAUCGAUGACAUCUUUUUUGUUUUUUUUUCCUGUUUUCUCUACCUAUCUGUUAUGUUUUUCAUCCUGCCAAGGAAUCCAAAAACAUCAGCUGUCUCCCGUUUCCCGAGAGUUCGCCGACCAGUGUUGCUUUCACACUGAAGAAAAAACUACAGUUUAACUUCACCAGGCACAAUCAUCAGAAUGAGAUGCAGGAAAAUAUUUUCAUUUUACCGUUCAGUAUGAGAAACAUUUUACAAAUGAUAAUCGUGUAUGCCCAAAAGGUAUUUGUGCGGAUCUGCGAAUUCGGUUUUUGUGGAAUAAUUCAACCAAGGAUUAUGAUGUAGCACCGGUGGAGAGUAAGUCCAAUCAUACGGCUUCAUCCCACCCCAGCAGCAGAUGAGCGCUGGCGAAUGUUCUCAGCCACCUGGAGAAGGAGGUUCAGCGCGGAAGAAAUGUUACUAGACAUCGCCGAUCUGGUGUCUGGCCUUUUUUGAUAAUUUCAUAGAGAUUGGGUGUGCAGAUGGGCGGUUGGAGUUCUGGGAGGAAACGACUGGUAACUUUAAGGGUAUAUAUGAAGCCGAAAACAUCCACAACAAUGGGGUAACUAACAUAAAGCUCGCCGGUGACAAAGUGAUAGUCGCACGGUUGAGUGGACGAAUCGAUUCUCUGAGACUAGAAACGUACACGCAAGGUUUGCGUUGGGAUUUACGUCUGCAUAUGGGCGAACCCACGUACGCACCGGUUCGGCAGGAAGCAUUAGUUUAUUUCAGCAAUCCGUCCACAGCGUUGCCAGCUCAGCAUAACGCAUCCGAGGAGGAGCUUCGAUGUAUUCUGGAGUUUCAUCAGCAGGGUUACCGGUGACAUGUUUGGCGGGCGGUACAGUCAUGAUUGGCAGCCAGGGCCACACUGUUAAAGUGUUCCGACUCUAUAG
This is a long non-coding RNA of Topomyia yanbarensis, 1103 nucleotides long. RefSeq lists it as uncharacterized. The record is from RefSeq and is a predicted model, not a curated record. The transcript has 3 exons. NCBI's taxonomy places the organism in Eukaryota, Metazoa, Arthropoda, Insecta, Diptera, Culicidae.